UUUGGAAUUCCCCAGAGUUUGUUGAGAAAGCAGCCAAUCAGACCCUGGGGAUCAUGGUUGAGAACGAGCCGCUACGUCCAGGUGCGGAAGUGUGCGGCCAAACUCCUCCUGUCCUUGAUGGGGAAAAUUGGAGUCACGAAGCUCGCAGACACACCCAGGGCUGAGAGCCUGGCACAGGUGGCAGGGAAACUUGCUCAGGACUGUCACAAGGACACAAGGCACUAUGGACAGGAGAUGGUGAAGAUGUUGCUAAAUCAUCAAAAAUUUAAAAGGCUUUUGGAGCAAUCUGUUUCUACCCAUGACCUGGAAGAUAUUCUGUCAAGAAUUAAGA
Non-coding RNA from Cyanistes caeruleus (blue tit), 331 nucleotides. NCBI's taxonomy places the organism in Eukaryota, Metazoa, Chordata, Aves, Passeriformes, Paridae. The record is from RefSeq and is a predicted model, not a curated record.